Molecule: long non-coding RNA, 879 nt
Filed under: Musa acuminata (dwarf banana)
Lineage: Eukaryota; Viridiplantae; Streptophyta; Magnoliopsida; Zingiberales; Musaceae
Description: long non-coding RNA (MACU_LNC001897)
Source: RNAcentral
CGGAAGCAGCAGCUCACUUGCCGGGGACGAAGUUGGUGGCGUAGGCCCAAGCGUUGUUGUUGACGGGGUCGGCGAGGUGGUCGGCCAGGUUCUCCAGCGGGCCCUUGCCGGUCACGAUGGCCUGAACGAAGAAUCCGAACAUGGAGAACAUGGCCAGGCGGCCGUUCUUGAUCUCCUUCACCUUCAGCUCCGCGAAGGCUUCGGGGUCGUCGGCCAGGCCGAGGGGGUCGAAGCUGCCGCCCGGGUAGAGCGGGUCGGUCACCUCGCCGAGCGGCCCGCCGGCGAUGCGGUAGCCCUCCACGGCGCCCAUCAGGAUCACCUGGCACGCCCAGAUGGCCAGAAUGCUCUGAGCGUGGAUCAAGCUGGGAUUGCCCAGGUAGUCCAGUCCGCCCUCGCUAAAGAUCUGAGCGCCGGCCUUGAACCACACCGCCUCCCCGAACUUGACCCCGUUGCGGGCCAGCAACUCCGGGAAGACGCAGCCCAGGGCGCCGAGCAUAGCCCACCGGCAGUGGAUGACCUCCAGCUCCCGGUUCUUGGCGAAGGUCUCGGGGUCGGCCGACAGCCCAGCCGUGUCCCACCCGUAGUCGCCCGGGAACUCGCCGGUGAGGUAGGACGGGGGCUCGCCGGAGAACGGGCCGAGGUACUUGACGCGGUCGGGGCCGUACCACGGACUACCGGAUGCAACGGGCUUCGGCUUGGCGCCCGUCUUCCGCAUGGUGACCCUGCCUCCGCCGAGGACGUCGGAGGCCGAGGGGGCGAGCUUGACGGCCUGGCCGGCGAAGGAUGGGGAGGAGAGGGCCAUGGUGGAAGCCAUUGGAGAAUGACUCGCUGCAAGGAGGAAAGAGUAGGAGAUGGAUUCGAUGAGAGAGUAGAGCGAGG